RNAcentral lists this ribosomal RNA (374 nucleotides) under uncultured bacterium. RNAcentral's name for it is "bacterial SSU rRNA". It matches the Rfam family "Bacterial small subunit ribosomal RNA", at positions 521 to 896 of the family's 1533-position model. The record is from RNAcentral.
UAAGACGGAGGGGGCUAGCGUUGUUCGGAAUUACUGGGCGUAAAGAGUGCGUAGGCGGUUUAGUAAGUUGGAAGUGAAAGCCCGAGGCUUAACCUCGGAACUGCUUUCAAAACUACUAAUCUAGAGUGUAGUAGGGGAUGAUGGAAUUCCUAGUGUAGAGGUGAAAUUCUUAGAUAUUAGGAGGAACACCGGUGGCGAAGGCGGUCAUCUAGGCUACAACUGACGCUGAGGCACGAAAGCGUGGGGAGCAAACAGGAUUAGAUACCCUGGUAGUCCACGCUGUAAACGAUGAGUGCUAGAUAUCGGAAGAAUUUCUUUCGGUUUCGAAGCUAACGCAUUAAGCACUCCGCCUGGGGAGUACGGUCGCAAGAUUA